This 601-nucleotide ribosomal RNA is filed under the name Bifidobacterium thermacidophilum. RNAcentral describes it as "bacterial SSU rRNA". It matches the Rfam family "Bacterial small subunit ribosomal RNA", at positions 30 to 639 of the family's 1533-position model. The record is from RNAcentral. Lineage: Bacteria; Bacillati; Actinomycetota; Actinomycetes; Bifidobacteriales; Bifidobacteriaceae.
UGAACGCUGGCGGCGUGCUUAACACAUGCAAGUCGAACGGGAUCCAUCAGGCUUUGCUUGGUGGUGAGAGUGGCGAACGGGUGAGUAAUGCGUGACCGACCUGCCCCAUACACCGGAAUAGCUCCUGGAAACGGGUGGUAAUGCCGGAUGCUCCGACUCCUCGCAUGGGGUGUCGGGAAAGAUUUCAUCGGUAUGGGAUGGGGUCGCGUCCUAUCAGGUAGUCGGCGGGGUAACGGCCCACCGAGCCUACNACGGGUAGCCGGCCUGAGAGGGCGACCGGCCACAUUGGGACUGANAUACGGCCCANACUCCUACGGGAGGCAGCAGUGGGGAAUAUUGCACAAUGGGCGCAAGCCUGAUGCAGCGACGCCGCGUGCGGGAUGACGGCCUUCGGGUUGUAAACCGCUUUUGAUCGGGAGCAAGCCUUCGGGUGAGUGUACCUUUCGAAUAAGCACCGGCUAACUACGUGCCAGCAGCCGCGGUAAUACGUAGGGUGCAAGCGUUAUCCGGAAUUAUUGGGCGUAAAGGGCUCGUAGGCGGUUCGUCGCGUCCGGUGUGAAAGUCCAUCGCUUAACGGUGGAUCUGCGCCGGGUACGGGCGG